CCUACGGGAGGCAGCAGUAGGGAAUCUUUCACAAUGGGCGAAAGCCUGAUGGAGCAACGCCGCGUGCAGGAUGAAGGCCUUCGGGUUGUAAACUGCUUUUAUAAGCGAGAAAUAUGAUGGUAACUUAUGAAUAAGGAUCGGCUAACUACGUGCCAGCAGCCGCGGUCAUACGUAGGAUCCGAGCAUUAUCCGGAGUGACUGGGUGUAAAGAGUUGCGUCGGUGGCAUAAUAAGUAGCUAGUGAAAUCUGGUGGCUCAACCAUUCAGACUAUUAGCUAAACUGUUAAGCUCGAGACCGUUAGGGGUAACUGGAAUGUCUAGUGUAGGAGUGAAAUCCGUAGAUAUUAGAAGGAACACCAAUAGCGUAGGCAGGUUGCUGGGACGGUUCUGACACUAAGGCACGAAAGCGUAGGGAGCAAACGGGAUUAGAUACCCCGGUAGUC
Molecule: ribosomal RNA, 442 nt
Filed under: uncultured bacterium
Lineage: Bacteria
Description: partial 16S ribosomal RNA
Rfam family: Bacterial small subunit ribosomal RNA
Source: RNAcentral